GACCGCGUAGCUCAGUUGGCAGAGCAUUGGGCUAGCAUUCCAAAGGUCGUAGGUUCGAUUCCCACCGUGGUCA
This 73-nucleotide transfer RNA is filed under the name Paramuricea clavata. It matches the Rfam family "tRNA". From Rfam's summary of the family: Transfer RNA (tRNA) molecules are approximately 80 nucleotides in length. Their secondary structure includes four short double-helical elements and three loops (D, anti-codon, and T loops). Further hydrogen bonds mediate the characteristic L-shaped molecular structure. tRNAs have two regions of fundamental functional importance: the anti-codon, which is responsible for specific mRNA codon recognition, and the 3' end, to which the tRNAs corresponding amino acid is attached (by aminoacyl-tRNA synthetases). tRNAs cope with the degeneracy of the genetic code in two manners: having more than one tRNA (with a specific anti-codon) for a particular amino acid; and 'wobble' base-pairing, i.e. permitting non-standard base-pairing at the 3rd anti-codon position. Lineage: Eukaryota; Metazoa; Cnidaria; Anthozoa; Malacalcyonacea; Plexauridae. The record is from Rfam by way of RNAcentral.